Molecule: small nucleolar RNA, 109 nt
Organism: Capsicum annuum
Lineage: Eukaryota; Viridiplantae; Streptophyta; Magnoliopsida; Solanales; Solanaceae
Source: RefSeq, a predicted model, not a curated record
UAUUGGUGAUGAGUACAAUCUCUGAUAAAAUCCUUGAAUAUCUUUCCUAUGCUUGGUAUAAAUUCUCCUUAGGCUUUUUCCGAAAACCUAAUAUUUCACUUCUUAUCCA